AUGGUUGGACUCUGUAGCUGUGCGGUCGACGAAGGUUGCAGAUCCACUGCAGUCGGAUCUACGGUGGCAAGCGGAAGGAGUGCGAGCCGGUGGUCCGUGUGCGUAAGAUUUUUGGGGGUGUGCGCGCGAGGAGGAGAUUGGAGGUGGCAAGAUUGGAGCAGCGCGGUCGCCUUACUAUGGAUGUGCGUGGGUUUGGAAGCUGAAGGCGUUAUCGUCGAUCUCGGUUCUGGACGUUGGGUUGCUGUCGGAGGUCGAAGGUGUGAAGAACUGAGAAUUCGACGGCGAGCGAUGGUUGGUGGAGCGAAUCUGCUGUGA
Molecule: non-coding RNA, 315 nt
Organism: Vicia faba (fava bean)
Lineage: Eukaryota; Viridiplantae; Streptophyta; Magnoliopsida; Fabales; Fabaceae
Source: the annotation of a GenBank genome assembly